RNAcentral lists this ribosomal RNA (597 nucleotides) under uncultured bacterium. RNAcentral's name for it is "bacterial SSU rRNA". It matches the Rfam family "Bacterial small subunit ribosomal RNA", at positions 331 to 929 of the family's 1533-position model. The record is from RNAcentral.
CCAGACUCCUACGGGAGGCAGCAGUGAGGAAUAUUGGUCAAUGGACGAGAGUCUGAACCAGCCAAGUAGCGUGCAGGAUGAUGGCCCUAUGGGUUGUAAACUGCUUUUGUAUGGGGAUAAAGUCAAUCACGUGUGAUUGUUUGCAGGUACCAUACGAAUAAGGACCGGCUAAUUCCGUGCCAGCAGCCGCGGUAAUACGGAAGGUCCGGGCGUUAUCCGGAUUUAUUGGGUUUAAAGGGAGCGUAGGCCGGAGAUUAAGUGUGUUGUGAAAUGUAGACGCUCAACGUCUGACUUGCAGCGCAUACUGGUUUCCUUGAGUACGCACAACGUUGGCGGAAUUCGUCGUGUAGCGGUGAAAUGCUUAGAUAUGACGAAGAACUCCGAUUGCGAAGGCAGCUGACGGGAGCGCAACUGACGCUUAAGCUCGAAGGUGCGGGUAUCGAACAGGAUUAGAUACCCUGGUAGUCCGCACAGUAAACGAUGGAUGCCCGCUGUUGGUACCUGGUAUCAGCGGCUAAGCGAAAGCAUUAAGCAUCCCACCUGGGGAGUACGCCGGCAACGGUGAAACUCAAAGGAAUUGACGGGGGCCCGCACAAG